Molecule: ribosomal RNA, 1788 nt
Filed under: Triticum aestivum (bread wheat)
Lineage: Eukaryota; Viridiplantae; Streptophyta; Magnoliopsida; Poales; Poaceae
Description: partial small subunit ribosomal RNA
Source: RNAcentral
AUGGCUACUUGUAGACGUUGGGAGCUGCCUCUCCCCGACACGCUCCGUGGCUUGCACCGUCUCGACGUCUACUGCAAGGUGCCUGUCCUCUGGGAGGACACCGACAUACCCAAAAAUGCAGACCAGAUCUCCAUGGUGUCGCCGCCCACGAUCUCCAGAGAUCUUGGCAAGCUUGUUAUGAUUCAGGGGGAGGGGGAGCCCCAGACGAAGUUGGAGUUGUCACGGAGGCAUUGCAUGUUGCCGGACGUGACCUUCAUCAUUGAGCAGACCGAGAUCCAUGCGCACAAGACCGCGCUUUCCAUGCGGUCACCGGUCUUCGCCGCACAGUUUCGAUGGCACACGACAGAGAGCACCGCGCGGGUCCACGACAUAAGUGCCUCCACUUUCAGGGCCAUGCUGCACUUCAUCUACACCGAUCAGCUCGAAUUAAAGAGCGCUGAUGGUGGUCGUGUGGCUAUGGCGCUCGACCUACUUGUGGCGGCAGAUCGGUAUGAUAUCGGAAGCCUGAGGCUCAUGUGUGAGAACAUAUUGUCCGAGAGCAUGGGUGUCGUGUCAGUCAUGUCGACAUUGAUGGAGGUCCAUGGCCGGCAUAGCUGUCGGGCGGUGGAGGCCUUGUGCAUCGAGUACAUGGCAUCAGAUCCCGCCGUGUACGCAGCCGUGAAGGCGACAGAGGACUACAAGGAGCUAAAGGAGAGUUGCUACUCUUCCGUACUCGAGGUCGUCGAGAAAGUAGCAGCCGUCAACAUGGCUCAUAACAUGUGCUCCAAUGCUCCUUCUUCCUCCAGCAGUCGGCCGCAGAUGAAUGCGGCCACGUAUUACUCACUGGAGGUUGUCGAGGGAACACACAAGUUUAAAAUUCCCGGUUUUCUCUUUGUGCAAAGGAGGCAUGGAGUUGGGAAAGAAAUCAGUUCAGAAGCUUUCCAGGUUGGUGGUUACAGUUGGAAGAUAAAGGUAUACCCGUCGUCAUCAUCAGAGAAGGCACAAGGGCACAUCUCCGUGUAUGCUGAGCUGUUGACUGAUCCUGGAACCGAAGGUGUCAAUGUGACAUUGGGCUUUAAGUUGGAUGGUCAUAGUGGCCAGUCACGCCAUUUGAUAAAAUGGUCAGAGAAAACCUUUACAACCAAGUCAGACCGGGGAUAUGCGAAGUUCGUCACCGUUGAAGCCGCCAAGUCAUGGCACCUAGCACGUGAUGCCUCCCUUACCGUAUGUUGCGAUGUUGCCAUCACCAAGAAGGUCUACACUAGCACUACUAGCACCAGCACCGUCGGCACCGGAGCCCCAAUGCCACUGUCCAAUAUUACCUCGCACCUGAAGCAGUUGCUGGUGAGCGAGCACGGGUCGGAUGUAAGGUUCCUGGUCGAGAACAUCGAGCUCCGCGUCGUGAUCGCCGCACGGUUACCAACCCUAUGUGAAAUGAUGAUGAUGGGCAUGAAGGAUGGCGACGGCAUACCGGUUGAUGGCGUGACAGUUGCGGUUUUCAAGGCUGUGCUCCAUUUCAUCUACACCGACGAGCUGCCUCCUAUUCAAGACCUAACCCAUGAUGGUGCUGCCCAAGAUGAGGUGAUGAUAGCCGAAGAUAUGUUGGUUGAGGCGUGUUGGUUCGGUCUAGGCAGGAUAAAGGCCAUGUGCGAGAAUCUGCUAGCCGGAUUAAUCGACUUGGAAGAAGAUGCACUAAGCACGCUAGAGCCUGUCAGCGAUCUCCAAUGCUCGAACCUCAGAGAUUACUGCAACCAGUUCAUCGCGUCGAUGAGUAAUUACAUCAUAGUCGACUCAUCGCAAAUAUAUUGA